AAUAGAAGAAAAGUCAGUCAUUCUGUCCCAGGUCUACUGUGGUCAAACUUUUCAGAAAAUCUACUGUGUUAGUAAGAACAAAGAAAAAUGAAACAGAAUCCUGGAGUUCCUCGACCUCUGUCUAGACUGAAUAAAAGACUACACAGAAGGAGUAUUAGGACCGUUUCAUACGGUAAAAGUAAACAGUAAAGGUAAUUCAGUUCUUGGUGUUAACACAGUUCAGCUAAUACCAAACUCCACUGACUCAACAGCAGCAUUUUUGUUUUCUGUUUUUCUGCUUUUUACAAACAUUAUUAUUCUUCAUUUUAUUUUUCAUGCUGAAUAUUGUGUAGAUGUGAG
Long non-coding RNA from Sphaeramia orbicularis (orbiculate cardinalfish), 339 nucleotides. RefSeq lists it as uncharacterized. NCBI's taxonomy places the organism in Eukaryota, Metazoa, Chordata, Actinopteri, Kurtiformes, Apogonidae. The transcript is spliced from 3 exons. The record is from RefSeq and is a predicted model, not a curated record.